UUAGAUGAAUAUGCCACAUUGGUGCUUGCUCAGUAGAUAAAUGGAGUAAUGUAUGGGUACAAGGACCCAUCUUGUGUGUCCAGCCAUCUGGAAUACCUCUGAGCCUUGAGUUCUAGACAACUUAGACAUCGCACUCCUAACCAGUGUGAUAGUGCCUUUAGAAAUUCAAAACUCUUGACAAGGAUAUCAGUAAGUUCAUCAUGUUGUAAGACUACUGAUUUUUGGUCUGGACAGACAGGACCUCAGCAAUGAUAGAAAAAUUCAACGAGGAGAAUGUAAGUCAUUAGCAAUAGAUGCAUGUUUAGCUAGCAACAAUUUUCAUUUAUACAGUAUGCCCAUGUUUAUUUAAGCGUUGGGAAGGUUUGUGAACCUGAAGUACUCAGGCAAUGAGGAACUAGGGGAGAAAAAGAUAAGCAUUAGGUAAUAAGACAUGCUCUUUCCUUUGCAAUAGGGUUUCUUUGCUUUUUAAAUUCAGUAUCAUUUCUUGCCAUUAUACGGUGUUUCUCUUUUCUUGUUUUUUCAUGUUGCCAAUCAACACCUUGUUGGAGCUUGGGUGACCCAAAUGCAGACAAAUAAGUUUUGACCAAGAGCAAUGUGAAAUGAAGAGGUAGACUCCAAAAACAGGCUUCUGGCUGCCAAUCGGCGCCUUGUUGGAGCUACAGUGACACAAAUGCAAACUACUCUGCAUUGACCAAGUGAGAUGCAAAAAGAGGAGGACUGGAGAUUCCACCACCAGAUGCCAUUGCCCUUCCUGAUCUCUGUGGCAUUGGAGAACUGUGGCCCUCUGAGACGUGCGAGGACUCUACUGAGGCUCUUGGUGGAUGCAGCAGGAAACCAAAGCCGUAGUGACUCAAAUGCUGACUGCUCUGCUUUGACCUAGUGAGAUGGAAAAUGAAGAGGUAGGCUCCAAAACAGGCUU
Molecule: long non-coding RNA, 919 nt
Filed under: Chrysolophus pictus (golden pheasant)
Lineage: Eukaryota; Metazoa; Chordata; Aves; Galliformes; Phasianidae
Description: lncRNA (ENSCPIG00010004477.1)
Source: RNAcentral